Molecule: ribosomal RNA, 876 nt
Filed under: uncultured bacterium
Lineage: Bacteria
Description: bacterial SSU rRNA
Rfam family: Bacterial small subunit ribosomal RNA
Source: RNAcentral
GAGCGAACGCUGGCGGCGUACUUAACACAUGCAAGUCGAACGGGGAUCAUUGUGUGAGCAAUCAUGUGAUGGUCCUAGUGGCGCACGGGUGAGUAACACGUGGGUAACCUGCCCUCGAGACCGGGAUACCCCUUCGAAAGGGGGGCUAAUACCGGAUACGUUCCUUAGGUCGAGAGAUUUGAGGAAGAAAGGUGGCGCAAGCUGCCGCUCUUGGAGGGGCUCGCGGCCUAUCAGCUAGUUGGUGGGGUAACGGCCCACCAAGGCUAUGACGGGUAGCUGGUCUGAGAGGACGACCAGCCACACGGGGACUGAGACACGGCCCCGACUCCUACGGGAGGCAGCAGUGGGGAAUUUUCCGCAAUGGGCGAAAGCCUGACGGAGUGACGCCGCGUGUGGGAUGAAGGCCUUCGGGUCGUAAACCACUGUCAGUGGGAAAGAUGGGUGUCGGCGCGAUAACCGCCGGCAUCUGACGGUACCUGCAGAGGAAGCCCCGGCUAACUCUGUGCCAGCAGCCGCGGUAAGACAGAGGGGGCAAGCGUUGCUCGGAAUUACUGGGCGUAAAGGGCGCGUAGGCGGGAUGGCAAGUCGGUCGUGAAAUCCCUCGGCUCAACCGAGGAGCGUCGAUCGAAACUGCCGUUCUUGAGGGUUGCAGAGGAGACUGGAAUUCCCGGUGUAGCGGUGAAAUGUGUAGAGAUCGGGAGGAACACCGGUGGCGAAGGCGGGUCUCUGGGCAACUCCUGACGCUGAGGCGCGAAAGCGUGGGGAGCAAACGGGAUUAGAUACCCCGGUAGUCCACGCUGUAAACGAUGACGACUAGGUGUGGGGGGGUUCAGUCCCCUCCGUGCCGCAGCUAACGCAUUAAGUCGUCCGCCUGGG